AGCUGAGUCCAGGAACGCAGCCACACAAUGAUGAUGGGUGUGACCUGAGAAUUACAGUGAAAGAACUAUUUUCCAGUCUUUACCCAGUGAGGAUGCGCCAUCUGACCCUGCAGCUGUGUGUGGUUGUGAGCACAUCUGCUGCAGGAUAACCCUUGCGUGCCACAGCACUGACUGCGUAUGUAAAAGCUUAAACCCUGAGACCAAUGUCUCCUUCUACUUGCCUUUCACAGAUUUUCUGUUUGUUUUAACUCUAGGAUAAUGUUAUUACCCUAUAUGAGAAAGUAAGGGAUUUUCCUAAGAAGGUCUCACGUUGCCAUGUGAACUGGAAUAUUUUAGAUACAUCCAUAGUCCUCAUUCAAAAACGAGACGUGAGAGUCAUUCGGAGACCUUGUUGAAACACAGAUUGCUGACACCAUCUUCACUCCAGAGAAAAUCUCCUUGCAUAGUCUUGAGAUGGCCUGAUAAAGUCACUUUCUUCACACAGAGACUCUGGAUGAGAAUCUUUGCAGCAGGUGUGAUCUAUCUGAGGACAGUGGCUUUUGACAGUUUUGAGCUGCAUCCUAGCCCCUUGUCAUUUGUUAAGAUAAUUAACUACUAGGUACAUGGAACUUGGAGACUAUAAUGGUCGGGACUUGAAGAUGGGUUCCAAUUAUGUCUUGAAAGAUAUUUAGAGAAUAACCUUGAAGUACUGGAAACAACUAGACUUUAUGAAAGAGUCCUAGCAAUCUUUGUAAUUACGCUUUAAACAUCUUUGAAACACACUGAUUGUUUGGAGAUGUCAUAAUGAAACCAAUUAUUAUGUG
Molecule: long non-coding RNA, 803 nt
Organism: Mus musculus (house mouse)
Lineage: Eukaryota; Metazoa; Chordata; Mammalia; Rodentia; Muridae
Product: predicted gene, 36771
Exons: 3
Source: RefSeq, a predicted model, not a curated record